UACGGGGGGAGCAAGCGUUGUUCGGAUUUACUGGGCGUAAAGGGCGCGUAGGCGGUCAGCACAAGUCAGUUGUGAAAUCUCCGGGCUUAACUCGGAAAGGUCAACUGAUACUGUGCGACUAGAGUGCAGAAGGGGCAACUGGAAUUCUCGGUGUAGCGGUGAAAUGCGUAGAUAUCGGGAGGAACACCAGUGGCGAAGGCGACUACCUGGCCUGUUCUUGACGCUGAGGCGCGAAAGCUAGGGGAGCAAACGGG
This 254-nucleotide ribosomal RNA is filed under the name uncultured bacterium. RNAcentral's name for it is "partial 16S ribosomal RNA". It matches the Rfam family "Bacterial small subunit ribosomal RNA", at positions 524 to 776 of the family's 1533-position model. The record is from RNAcentral.